RNAcentral lists this ribosomal RNA (608 nucleotides) under uncultured bacterium. RNAcentral's name for it is "bacterial SSU rRNA". It matches the Rfam family "Bacterial small subunit ribosomal RNA", at positions 110 to 753 of the family's 1533-position model. The record is from RNAcentral.
GUAACAUGUGGGAAUCUGCCUUGUGGUUCAGGACAACAUUGGGAAACCGAUGCUAAUACUGGAUAAGCCCUUACGGGGAAAGUUUUAAUGCCAUAAGAUGAGCCCGCAUUUGAUUAGUUAGUUGGUGAGGUAAUGGCUCACCAAGACAAUGAUCAAUAGCUGAUCUGAGAGGAUGAUCAGCCACACUGGGACUGAGACACGGCCCAGACUCCUACGGGAGGCAGCAGUGGGGAAUCUUGCACAAUGGAGGAAACUCUGAUGCAGCGAUGCCGCGUGAGUGAAGAAGGCCUUUGGGUUGUAAAGCUCUUUUGUAGGGGAAGAUAAUGACUGUACCCUAAGAAUAAGGUCCGGCUAACUUCGUGCCAGCAGCCGCGGUAAUACGAAGGGACCUAGCGUAGUUCAGAAUUACUGGGCGUAAAGCGCGCGUAGGCCGUUGAGUUAGUUAAUUGUGAAAUCCCAAAGCUUAACUUUGGAACUGCAAUUAAAACUGCUCGACUAGAGUUUGAUAGAGGAAAGCGGAAUACAUAGUGUAGAGGUGAAAUUCGUAGAUAUUAUGUAGAACACCAGUUGCGAAGGCGGCUUUCUGGAUCAACACUGACGCUGAGGCG